RNAcentral lists this long non-coding RNA (306 nucleotides) under Bos taurus (domestic cattle). RNAcentral's name for it is "long non-coding RNA NONBTAT022132". The record is from RNAcentral. Lineage: Eukaryota; Metazoa; Chordata; Mammalia; Artiodactyla; Bovidae.
CGGAUAUCUUAACAAUGUUAAGUAACAAGGUAGCACCAAACUUCCAUUUAAAUUAUUUAUAAGUGAUAAAGUAGCACUAAUCAGAAUAUGAAUUUUUAAUGUUCACUGUUGAAUGUUCUAUAAUUCUCUGCAUUAUGUCUUUGAUGACAACAUUGGCUGAAAAUGAAAAGUUCCACAUUAUCCCAAUAUUGUUACUUAGAUACUUCUUUGUGAUUUGUAUUUUUCUUCAGAUAAUCUUAGUCACAAGUGAUGUACCUGUUAUCUUUGUGGUGCUUUAUUCUUCAAGGUAGCUGGGAAUUGAUGACC